CCUACGGGGGGCUGCAGGCGCGAAAACUUUACAAUGCUGGAAACAGCGAUAAGGGGACCUCGAGUGCCAGGUUACAAAUCUGGCUGUCGUGAUGCCUAAAAAGCAUUGCAUAGCAAGGGCCGGGCAAGACCGGUGCCAGCCGCCGCGGUAACACCGGCGGCUCGAGUGGUAACCGUUAUUAUUGGGUCUAAAGGGUCUGUAGCCGGCCGGAUAAGUCUCUUGGGAAAUCCAGCAGCUCAACUGUUGGGCUUUCAGGAGAUACUGUCUGGCUCGAGGCCGGGAGAGGUGAGAGGUACUUCAGGGGUAGGGGUGAAAUCUUGUAAUCCUUGAAGGACCACCAGUGGCGAAGGCGUCUCACCAGAACGGACCUGACGGCAAGGGACGAAAGCUAGGGGCACGAACCGGAUUAGAUACCCUUGUAGUC
RNAcentral lists this ribosomal RNA (424 nucleotides) under uncultured Methanosaeta sp. RNAcentral's name for it is "bacterial SSU rRNA". It matches the Rfam family "Archaeal small subunit ribosomal RNA", at positions 322 to 746 of the family's 1478-position model. Lineage: Archaea; Methanobacteriati; Methanobacteriota; Methanomicrobia; Methanotrichales; Methanotrichaceae. The record is from RNAcentral.